UAUUAGGUCAUGGGUUCGAAUCCCGGCUCGGCCACUUGUCAGCUGGGUGACUGUGGGCCAGUCACUUCACUUCUCGGUGCCCGUUACCUCAUCUGUAAAAUCGAUUAGAUCGAUUACAUCGAUUAGACUGUAAGCCAGUGACCUCAUCUGUAAAAUGGGGAUGAAGACCGGGAGCCCCACGUGGGACACCCUGAUUCCCGUGUCUCCCCCAGCGCUUAGAACAGUGCUCGGCACAGACUAAGCGCUUAACAAAUACCAACAUUAUUAUUAUUAAGCCCGUCAAACGGCAGGGACCGUCUCUAUCUGUGGCCGACUUGUUCAUUCCAAGCGCUUAGUCCAGUGCUCUGCACGUAGUCAGCGCUCAAUAAAGACGAUUGAAAUACUAUGGAAUGAGUAAAAAUGGGGAUGAGGCCUGGGAGCCCCACGUGGGACAACCUGAUGGCCCUGUGUCUCCCCCAGCGCUUAGAACAGUGCUCGGCACAGAGGAAGCGCUUAACAAACACCAACAUGAUUAUUAUUUUUAUUUAUUAUUAUUAAGCGCUGAACAUUGGAGCGAGGGAGUGAAAGGCCGUGAUGGCGGCCCUGAGGCGAGGGGGACACCGGAAGUCCCGCCCUCCGGGCCGAAGAGGCUGCCGGGUAGCGGUUUAAUGCCCGGCCCCCUCAGCCCUGCCUCCUUUUCUCUUUGCGCCUUCGGGCCGCCGCACGGGUCGCGCUCCGCUCCGCCAUUUCCUCCCGCUCCGCCGUCCCGCCCGCUCCGCCAUCCCCACACAAGUGAGUACGAGGCGCCCACCGGGCCCGGACGCUCUGGGCCCCCGUCCGACCCCGCCCGACCCCAACCCGGGGAAGGAGGGCCACAAAAUGGCGGCCGACGGCAGGACUGGCCCCAGGCCCGCCUGGCGGAUGCGUUACGUCGCCGCCUACCUCCUGGCCGUCCUCGGGGGCAACGACUCCCCGGCCCUGAAGGACCUCAAGAAGAUCCUGGACAGCGUGGGCAUCGAGACGGACGACGAACGCCUGAAGAAGGAGUCAUCCUCUCCCGUCUCCCGUCCGGAAAAGAAAGAUCUGGCGUUAGGCGUGUGGUCACUCUACAGACUCACUGUCCAGAGACCCGGUGA
Molecule: long non-coding RNA, 1115 nt
Filed under: Ornithorhynchus anatinus (platypus)
Lineage: Eukaryota; Metazoa; Chordata; Mammalia; Monotremata; Ornithorhynchidae
Description: lncRNA (ENSOANG00000041608.1)
Source: RNAcentral